AAGGGACGGAAUACAAAGGAAGUUACCUCCCUGACUGAAGUAAAUGAGUCACAAUGCCGCCCAGUUCAGGAGGAAUUAGCCAGAUAUAGUGCCACCUACCGGUACGAGGAACUAGUGGGUAGACUACCACCUGUAGGAGUUGACCCGGCAUGUAAAGAAGAAUAUCUAUCAGAUGUGGACUUCCAGAAAAUCUUUGGACUUGAUAGAUCGCUCUACAAGCAGAAACCGAGAUGGAGACAGAUCGAGCUAAAGAAGGAAGCUGGGUUAUUCUGAUUCAUCCCCAUUCCAGAGAAGCCAUUCUGUCGCUUCAUUGUUUCUAGCUUUUUGCGACUUUUUUUUUUUAUAUAUGAUGUAUUUUUCUAUUGGUGUAUGAAGCUUCUUGAAACAUUCAGAUUGUAACAUUGCAAUUUGUUGUGUUACUUAAUACGGUUAAUUCAUCCGAUACUAAACAAACCAUAACCACAUAACGAAUCCAAUCAUUUGAGUUUCCACGUCAAAACAAUGACCAGAGCAUUAGAGUAUACGGCUGUGUAUCAACAGGAAAUAAUUGAACAUUUCUAUUGUAAUUCUCAAGCAUGAGGUUCAACGCUCUUGUGCAAGUAUAUGGAAGGUGUUGCAAUUAAAUAUAUUGAAGCCGAUUUGUCGAGAAGAACUGAUAUUUUUAUUAUGUACAGGACAAAUACAUUAUGUACAAGACAAAGAUAUCAUGUACAGACCCAUUUACCAAGUACAGACCUAUGCAAUAUGUAAAUGCCAUAUAUCGUACCCAGGCGGUUCCAAGUAUCGUCAUAUGUACUUUGAUUAUAUUUGAAUGCCUAUUAAAAGCUAUACAGUGUUAGUUUAAUCAUAUUGUGAGAACGCGCGUGUGGGGGGAAGGUUGGGGAUACCUCUUGCGCUUCACAGCCUGAAAGGCGCCUCCCGUAGGUGUUAUAUAUGGUGGGGGCAACUGUUGUACGAUCCCUUAUGAAGUCCGUGUUAUAGUCUUUUAUGACAGAAAGCACGUGCACUACCCGGGAUAAGUCGACUGUUGUUUGGAAGUGAGUCACGUGCACGGUGUAGCGGACUGUUUUUAUGACGAGGAACUGUCUCCGGCGAUAUUAUUUAAUUAAUCUAUAACUUUAAUCAGUGAGCUGUAACGAGACCAUGAACGCAGUCAGCUGUGACGUGAUGGUGGACCUAGUCAGCUUAAAGUCCGUUUGUUGUCAACUGUAAAGGCGAUUGUAGAGAAUACUGCCAGUAGUUCGUUUGUUGUCAACUGUAAAGGCGAUUGUAGAGAAUACUGCGAGUAGUUCGUUUGUUGUCAACUGUAAAGGUGAUUGUAAAGAAUACUGCCAGUAGUUCGUUUGUUGUCAACUGUAAAGGUGAUUGUAGAGAAUACUGCCAGUAGUUCGUUUGUUGUCAACUGUAAAGGCGAUUGUAGAGAAUACUGCGAGUAGUUCGUUUGUUGUCAACUGUAAAGGUGAUUGUAGAGAAUACUGCCAGUAGUUCGUUUGUUGACAACUGUAAAGGUGAUUGUAGAGAAUACUGCCAGUAAUUCGUUUGUUGUCAACUGUAAAGGUGAUUGUAGAGAAUACUGCGAGUAGUUCGUUUGUUGUCAACUGUAAAGGCGAUUGUAGAGAAUACUGCCAGUAGUUCGUUCGUUGACAAAUGGAAAGGUUAUUGUAGAGAAUACUGCCAGUAGUUCGUUUGUCGUCAACUGUAAAGGUGAUUUGUAUUAUCAUAGCAAUUUUCGCCACUUUUUUUAAUAUUAAUGAGAUUGAGAUCAGCGCGUGACGAGCUUCGUGGUGUGAUUGGCAGGAAGCGCAGCCAUUUUUUCGUUAAACCAACCAACACCGCAUGUUUCAGCACGCGUUGACCGCAACCUCAUUGAUAUUAAAAAAAUGAGGCAGGCUGACUGCGAAAAACUGUUUUUGGAGGAAACGGAG
Molecule: long non-coding RNA, 1925 nt
Organism: Mizuhopecten yessoensis (Yesso scallop)
Lineage: Eukaryota; Metazoa; Mollusca; Bivalvia; Pectinida; Pectinidae
Exons: 3
Source: RefSeq, a predicted model, not a curated record